CAAUAGCGUAUAUUUAAGUUGUUGCAGUUAAAAAGCUCGUAGUUGGAUUUCGGGUGUGAACGACCGGUCCGUCUUUGAUGUGUACUGGUUGGUUGCGCCUUAUUGUCGAGGACGUGGUUCUGGCUUUCAUUAACUGGGACACGGAGUCGGCAGCGUUACUUUGAGAAAAUUAGAGUGUUCAAAGCAGGCUAUCGCUCUGAAUACUACAGCAUGGAAUAACACGAUAGGACUCCGAGCCUAUUCUGUUGGUCUUCGGGACCGGAGUAAUGAUUAAGAGGGACAGUUGGGGGCAUUCGUAUUCCGAUGUCAGAGGUGAAAUUCUUGGAUUAUCGGAAGACGAACAUCUGCGAAAGCAUUUGCCAAGGAUGUUUUCAUUAA
This 378-nucleotide ribosomal RNA is filed under the name uncultured eukaryote. RNAcentral's name for it is "partial 18S ribosomal RNA". It matches the Rfam family "Eukaryotic small subunit ribosomal RNA", at positions 592 to 976 of the family's 1831-position model. The record is from RNAcentral.